AGGGGUGUCCGUUAAUUGGUAAGCGGCGACUCUCCAAAAGUCGUGCUGUCGGUUCGAGUCCGACCACCCCUG
RNAcentral lists this transfer RNA (72 nucleotides) under bacterium G20. It matches the Rfam family "tRNA". Rfam says of the family: Transfer RNA (tRNA) molecules are approximately 80 nucleotides in length. Their secondary structure includes four short double-helical elements and three loops (D, anti-codon, and T loops). The record is from Rfam by way of RNAcentral.